Molecule: ribosomal RNA, 252 nt
Filed under: uncultured bacterium
Lineage: Bacteria
Description: partial 16S ribosomal RNA
Rfam family: Bacterial small subunit ribosomal RNA
Source: RNAcentral
UACGUAGGGUGCGAGCGUUAAUCGGAAUUACUGGGCGUAAAGCGUGCGCAGGCGGUUCGUUGUGUCGGCGGUGAAAGCCCCGGGCUUAACCUGGGAAUGGCCGUUGAAACUGGCGAACUGGAGUGUGGCAGAGGGGGGUGGAUUCCGCGUGUAGCAGUGAAAUGCGUAGAGAUGCGGAGGAACACCGAUGGCGAAGGCAGCCCCCUGGGCUAACACUGACGCUCAGGCACGAAAGCGUGGGGAGCAAACAGG